UUCUUCUUUAUUCUUUCUUCUUUCUAUUUUCUUUUCUCUCUUUCUUCUUCUUCUUCUUUUCUCUGGCGAUUCAGAGAUGAAAUCUCUGUUAAGGAACUUCACUAAAAUUUAGUAGAACCAAUCAAUCGAGUGUGGUGUUGAUGAGUUAAUAGUUUGGGUUUGGUUAGAAACUUCGAUUGAGUUGAGGAGAAGUGAUUCUGUGAAGAAAUUAGGGUUCAUGAAAUCAAUUUCGGGAUUCAGUUAAGGGUGAAGAAGAAAGAAUCAAAGGAUGGGUUUGAUAAAUUGGAAGGUUUGAUUGGUAUUUUGAGGUUGAAUUAGAGAAUAGAAUCUCUGAGACUUGAAUUAGGGUUUGAGUUGGAAAUUCAGAUGAAGAACUAGAAGAUGAAUUUGAAGGUUUCAGUGACGAACUAAAGAUAGGUUUUGAUUGAAUUGAAGUUUUGAAGUUGAUUCACUAUCAGUGAAUCAUGGUUGGUGUUCUGUUCUUCCCCAAUUUAUGAGUUUGGGUUGAUGAUGAAGUAAUUGAGUGAAAUAACAAGAGAUGAAAGGUUGGGUUUUACUGAUAUGAUGUGAAGAUGAAGGUUAUGAAGCUGAUGAAGAACUAGGGUUUGGUUCUGCCAUUAAGAAGGUAAUUGUUCUGUGGGUAAAUCUGUUCAAGUUCUUUAUUAAGUUUAUAAGUUUCUUAAUGAAUUAUGAAUUAAAAUGGUUAUGAGAUAGAUAUGUAGUUGAGCUGAAUUCCAAAUGAUGGAGUUAUAGUGAGAUUGUAGAUUUGGUUAUGGAUUUUGCUAAGUGGAUGUCUGUAUGAUAAUCUGUAUGGAAUUCUUAUGGACAUAGCAGGGGGAUGAGUGUAGUAAGUUAGUUUUACAGAGAAGGUGAUUUUAGUAAGUAUCAGUUGCAGAUUCUGGUGGUGCUGAAUAAAUUCAGGGUAAGUUCAUUCAUUUGAACUCAGUUGAGAUGGAUUGUUGUAUCUGUAGUGCUAUGAAUUGUUGGAGAUUGAAGUUUACUAUGAUUAAGCCAGGUGUAUGGAUGUGCAGUCGAGUUUGUCUAACUGACAAUGAUGAUUGAGUUAUUGAAGUCUAAGUGUGCUAGAAUUGGAGUUGUUAUGGUUCAGAUGAAUGAGUGAUUGCAAGUAAUGGGAUUGGGGUAAGAAUUUAUUAAAUAGAGGCCUGGAUUGUCUAAAGUUGUAUUUUAAAGUGAUGUGUGGGUAUAUGAAUUGAAUUAUGAAGUUGGAUUGGAAACAGAACUGGAGAUGAGUUAUUGGUGGUGUUGGCUGUGUUGUUGAAUUUUCAGGUGGAGUUGUAAUAUGGAGAUUUGAAGCGUUAGAACUGAAGCUAUAGUUGUAAUUUGGUUGUACCUAGAAUCACAGUUGGAUAGUCUCUUUGAAAGCCUGUUGCUACUGCAUUGCAGUGGAUCGUGGAUCUCGAGGUAAGCGUGGCUUUUCAUCAAAAGAGGUGGGAAUACUUUUAAUUCUUUUGAAACCAUUGUUGUUUUCUUUUACAAAAGUUUAUGUUUAACAAAUUCAGGCAUUAUCUGAUUAUGCUUUGUUUUCUUUAAAUUUCGAAAGUAUAUAGAAUACGCUCAUUCAUUUUGGUGUGUAAGGAAUUGUUCGAAACCAACAUUGAUGUGUAAGGAAUUUGUCAACAUCCAUGCAUAAUAUUGGAUGUGUAAGGAAUUGGUUGACAUCCAAUAUAUUUCAUUGUCAAUGUAUACAAUUGGAUGUGUAAGGAAUUGGUCGACAUCCAAUAAUACAUUGUUUUGUCGAAGGAGUUAGUUCCAUAUACUAUGAUUGUUUGUUUUCUGUAUUUUGGAUGCCAUUUAGUGUUUUGGGAAAAACAUGAUUUGUUAUUGGAUGUGUAAGGAAUUGGUCGAUAUCCAAUAGACUUCAUUAUCAAUGUAUAAUAUGGGAUGUGUAAGGAAUUGGUCGA
Papaver somniferum (opium poppy) is the source of this 1922-nucleotide long non-coding RNA. RefSeq lists it as uncharacterized. NCBI's taxonomy places the organism in Eukaryota, Viridiplantae, Streptophyta, Magnoliopsida, Ranunculales, Papaveraceae. The record is from RefSeq and is a predicted model, not a curated record. The transcript is spliced from 2 exons.